GGAGAUGUUAAUAUUUCAAAAUUGUUGGAAAGAGGAUUAGAGUCAACAACGCAGCAUGUGCUUUUGCUUUGCAAUUUGCAUAGUCUACUUGACAUGCGAGUUGCUAUUCUUUUACCCAUAAGAGAAUUAGGAGGAAAAUUUAGUCGGUCGGCAGCACCACAUGUUCCACCUCAACCUCAGAGCUAGGUGGCUAAGCUAUAGGGGGUAAAGGUAAAAGUAACAUCACAUAAAAG
This 233-nucleotide unclassified non-coding RNA is filed under the name Hevea brasiliensis (rubber tree). Lineage: Eukaryota; Viridiplantae; Streptophyta; Magnoliopsida; Malpighiales; Euphorbiaceae. The record is from RNAcentral.